RNAcentral lists this non-coding RNA (30 nucleotides) under Mus musculus (house mouse). Lineage: Eukaryota; Metazoa; Chordata; Mammalia; Rodentia; Muridae. The record is from RNAcentral.
UCUGAGAAGAAAUAGAACCCUUUUGAAAGA